UGACAUGUGACCUUCCAGAAUGUGUGGGAGU
RNAcentral lists this non-coding RNA (31 nucleotides) under Mus musculus (house mouse). RNAcentral also lists the same sequence under 1 other name. Lineage: Eukaryota; Metazoa; Chordata; Mammalia; Rodentia; Muridae. The record is from RNAcentral.